Sipha flava (yellow sugarcane aphid) is the source of this 1538-nucleotide long non-coding RNA. RefSeq lists it as uncharacterized. The transcript is spliced from 4 exons. Lineage: Eukaryota; Metazoa; Arthropoda; Insecta; Hemiptera; Aphididae. The record is from RefSeq and is a predicted model, not a curated record.
GCCGCGAUUCGCGCUAUCUGCCGGCCGUAAUCCGACACAACGUUCGCCGUCUCAACUGAACGUGCCGCGGCGACGCGCUGUACGCUGUAACGUUCGUUUUUCCUCCCAACGACGGUUUUCUGCGAACGCGGACACUACGUUCGUUUUCUGCCGCGUUCUUCGAAGACUCGCAACACGUGUAACGUUGUCCGAACAUUUCGAACUCGCACGUGAAACUUAGACGUCAUGACGACGUCGUACGACCGUAUAACCAGGAAUGCCGGUAUUGAACCGAGCGAAAAAAUGAUUAGUUUAAUGGUUCGGUUCGACGGAAGAAAAUUAAUGUCCACGACCGCUUGUAUAUGUUUACAUACGUUCAGGGCCUGCGCUAGUGGAAGGUGACCCGUGCCUACGCUCGGGGAGCUUCGGCAAUAUUGAAACUGAAAAAUAUAGUUAUCGUUCGUAAUCGCUCUAUAUUUAUAAUUAAGAUUUAUUAUUUCAUCAAUAGCGAUUCGUUGCGAUUAUCAUUAUCGAAAAUGUUUGCAUUAUGACACACGAUAAUACCUUAUUUGAUUGUAUGGUUGACACUUAAAAGUUGUGUUCAGUGUACGACGUACGUUUGCUUCGUUUUACUCUACACGUAUAUAUUACGUUCCAACAAUUUUUAAGAUGGUGGUGAAGUGGAGGAAUAGAACGGAGAUGAACGCCGAGUUACGUAAAGAACGAGAAGUGGAAUCAAUACUUUUGAGUCUGUAUUGCAGUUCAAAAAGUUUCCCGAGAGACAGAUUACAACGCGAAACAAGUGUUGAGUGGAGGUAAAAAAAUAAUAAACGAGGAACGGAUUUUAAUAAAAAAAAAGUCCACGUUUACGAUCGCACCGAGAAACGCAGCCAAACAUUGUCUUUCGCUUAACACCAUCCGGGUUAGUUGACCUAACCAUACGAGUCCUCGGUUUGAUCAGCGUUUCCCAACCGGUAACCCAAAGGUUCCGUGAGCAGCAGCGAUAAAACGGUACCGCAAGGGAUAUGGAAAAAGAAUAAAUAACGAUUUCGAUUCGAACGAACGGACUCGAGUCACGGACUCUUCUCGUUCGGGACGUUGUCGUACAAUAAUUUUUUUUGGCCCGAGAUAUUUAACACCUGGUGUUAUUGAUCAUAUUCGACUUGAAAAGAAAAAAGAAAAGAAAAAGGAGCUUGGAAACGUUGGUCGUUUUCGAUUGCGUGCACUGCGAAACAUCCGACCCGAUGCGAGUUUUGCCGGUGGUCAACAAGUGCACGACGCGGACACGGUGUUCGAACGGCGAACGCGCAGUUGUGAUUUCGGUGUACACCCACGGACGUGUAACUAGAGCCCAAAUAUCGGGGGUGCUGAAAAUAAAAAUUAAACGGUAUUCAACUGCGAUCACACUGUAGAUAACGUAAAUCUGAAGAAAAAAAAAAGAAAGCACGAGUGCUACAAUUGAACUCGGGGGUGCUGCUAAAAACCCUGUUGCACCCCCCCCCCACCUAGUUGCGCCCAGUGGCGUAGCCAAGGGGGGGCUAAGGGGGCUAUAGCCUCCC